UAGGGAAUCUUCCGCAAUGGACGCAAGUCUGACGGAGCAACGCCGCGUGAGUGAAGAAGGAUUUCGGUUCGUAAAACUCUGUUGUUAGAGAAGAACAGCGCAUAGAGUAACUGUUAUGCGUGUGACGGUAUCUAACCAGAAAGCCACGGCUAACUACGUGCCAGCAGCCGCGGUAAUACGUAGGUGGCAAGCGUUGUCGGAUUUAUUGGGCGUAAAGCGAGCGCAGGCGGUCAAUUAAGUCUGAUGUGAAAGCCCCCGGCUCAACCGGGGAGGGUCAUUGGAAACUGGUUGACUUGAGUGCAGAAGAGGAGAGUGGAAUUCCAUGUGUAGCGGUGAAAUGCGUAGAUAUAUGGAGGAACACCAGUGGCGAAGGCGACUCUCUGGUCUGUAACUGACGCUGAGGCUCGAAAGCGUGGGUAGCAAACAGG
Molecule: ribosomal RNA, 428 nt
Filed under: Bacteroidota bacterium
Lineage: Bacteria; Pseudomonadati; Bacteroidota
Description: Bacteroidetes bacterium partial 16S ribosomal RNA
Rfam family: Bacterial small subunit ribosomal RNA
Source: RNAcentral